GGUCUCCAGGAUUCUUCAUUUGAAAAUGACAACUAUUCUGUGAUAAAGAAAGUCAAGUUUACCCAUAUUCACUGGAUGUCUACAACUGGUGUCGGCUUUCAAAGAGCAUCCGAUACAAGGAGGCAGAAGCAUCAAGAGGCACCCAGUAGUUCAUUGGUUCAACAGUGAUGCGAGAAAUAUAGUUGUCAGGAGCACAAGAUGAUCACGUUUGCUGGUGAUCAUUUUCUCUGCAUGUAGGCAAAAUUACAUCCAGAAGUUAAAUGGGAUUCACGUUUCAUCCAGGAGGGGUUGUGUACACUCGCAGAGAGAGAGAGACUUCUAAAGGAAACACAACCUUUCUGUUGACUUAUACCAUAUUUUUAAAAAUCUCUGUGUUCUGUACAAUCAGCCAACCAAGGAAGUGAAAGGUAAGAAGGAGCUGAAGAGGGAAAAAAAAAACUAUAUUCUCUCACAGGUAUUAUCAUGCUUAUCAUGUUGGA
RNAcentral lists this long non-coding RNA (479 nucleotides) under Homo sapiens (human). Its description in RNAcentral is "HSALNT0341989". Lineage: Eukaryota; Metazoa; Chordata; Mammalia; Primates; Hominidae. The record is from RNAcentral.